Molecule: transfer RNA, 92 nt
Filed under: Sphaerisporangium krabiense
Lineage: Bacteria; Bacillati; Actinomycetota; Actinomycetes; Streptosporangiales; Streptosporangiaceae
Description: tRNA-Arg
Source: RNAcentral
CCGCCGGCACGGCGGCCGGCACUGGAGCGGCCUGCGUCGCCGCGUGGACGUCCUCGCGGGUGAUGGAGCCGUUCGGGCCGGUCCCGGUGAUC